Molecule: ribosomal RNA, 869 nt
Filed under: uncultured soil bacterium
Lineage: Bacteria
Description: bacterial SSU rRNA
Rfam family: Bacterial small subunit ribosomal RNA
Source: RNAcentral
AGAGCGAACGCUGGCGGCGUGCUUAACACAUGCAAGUCGAGUGCGCGCCCGUAGCAAUACAGGUGGCGCACGGCGCACGGGUGCGUAACACGUGGGUAAUCUGCCCUUCGAUGGGGAAUAACUCCGGGAAACCGAAGCUAAUUCCGCAUAACAUUCCUUGAACUUCGGUUUGGGGACUCAAAGCCGUAAGGCGUCGGAGGAGGAACCCGCGCACGAUUAGCUAGUUGGUAGGGUAACGGCCUACCAAGGCUUUGAUCGUUAGCUGGUCUGAGAGGAUGGCCAGCCACACUGGAACUGAGACACGGUCCAGACUCCUACGGGAGGCAGCAGUGGGGAAUCUUGCACAAUGGGCGAAAGCCUGAUGCAGCGACGCCGCGUGGGGGAUGAAGCUUUUCGGAGUGUAAACCCCUUUCGACCCGGACGAAUGUCCCGCAAGGGAACUGACGGUACGGGUAUAAGAAGCCCCGGCUAACUACGUGCCAGCAGCCGCGGUAAGACGUGGGGGGCCAGCGUUGCUCGGAAUUACUGGGUGUAAAGGGUUCGUAGGCGGUGUAGCAAGUCGGGAGUGAAAUCUCUGGGCUCAACCCAGAGGCUGCUUCCGAAACUGCUGUGCUUGAGUGUGGGAGAGGCGCGUGGAAUUGCAGGUGUAGCGGUGAAAUGCGUAGAUAUCUGCAGGAACACCCGUGGCGAAAGCGGCGCGCUGGACCACUACUGACGCUGAGGAACGAAAGCUAGGGGAGCAAACAGGAUUAGAUACCCUGGUAGUCCUAGCCCUAAACGAUCAGGACUUGGGGUGCCGCACGUUCGUGCGUCGUCCCGGAGCUAACGCGUUAAGUCCUGCACCUGGGGAGUACGGUCGCAAGACUGAA